GGAAUUUUGGACAAUGGGCGCAAGCCUGAUCCAGCCAUGCCGCGUGCGGGAAGAAGGCCUUCGGGUUGUAAACCGCUUUCGGCCGGAACGAAAUCGCCCGGGUGACCAUCCCGGGUGGAUGACGGUACCGGACGAAGAAGCACCGGCUAACUACGUGCCAGCAUCCGCGGUAAUACGUAGGGUGCGAGCGUUAAUCGGAAUUACGGGGCGUAAAGCGUGCGCAGGCGGGCUCGUAAGACAGGUGUGAAAUCCCCGGGCUCAACCUGGGAACUGCGCUUGUGACUGCGAGGCUGGAGUGUGGCAGAGGGAGGUGGAAUUCCACGUGUAGCAGUGAAAUGCGUAGAGAUGUGGAGGAACACCGAUGGCGAAGGCAGCCUCCUGGGCCAGCACUGACGCUCAUGCACGAAAGCGUGGGGAGCAA
Molecule: ribosomal RNA, 421 nt
Filed under: uncultured bacterium
Lineage: Bacteria
Description: bacterial SSU rRNA
Rfam family: Bacterial small subunit ribosomal RNA
Source: RNAcentral